GAAUUUUUCGCAAUGGGCGCAAGCCUGACGAAGCAACGCCGCGUGGAGGAUGAAGGCCUUCGGGUCGUAAACUCCUGUCGACCGGGACGAAUGCAGUCUGGGUAAAUAGCCCGGGCUGUUGACUGUACCGGUGGAGGAAGCCACGGCUAACUCUGUGCCAGCCGCCGCGGUAAUACAGAGGUGGCAAGCGUUGUUCGGAAUUACUGGGCGUAAAGGGCGCGUAGGCGGUUCGAUAAGUCCCGUGUGAAAGCCCCCGGCUCAACUGGGGAACUGCACGGGAAACUGACGGACUUGAGUUCGGGAGAGGGAAGCGGAACUCCGGGUGUAGCGGUGAAAUGCGUAGAUAUCCGGAGGAACACCGGUGGCGAAGGCGGCUUCCUGGACCGACACUGACGCUGAGGCGCGAAAGCUAGGGGAGCAAACGGG
RNAcentral lists this ribosomal RNA (426 nucleotides) under uncultured bacterium. Its description in RNAcentral is "bacterial SSU rRNA". It matches the Rfam family "Bacterial small subunit ribosomal RNA", at positions 359 to 776 of the family's 1533-position model. The record is from RNAcentral.